This 547-nucleotide ribosomal RNA is filed under the name Lernecella sp. n. GDE. RNAcentral describes it as "eukaryotic LSU rRNA". It matches the Rfam family "Eukaryotic large subunit ribosomal RNA", at positions 1457 to 1948 of the family's 3401-position model. Lineage: Eukaryota; Metazoa; Arthropoda; Insecta; Orthoptera; Phalangopsidae. The record is from RNAcentral.
GUAGUAGCAAAUACUCUAGCGAGGCCCUGGAGGGCUGAGGCGGAGAAGGGUUUCGUGUGAACAGCCGUUGCACACGAGUCAGUCGAUCCUAAGCCCUAGGGGAAACCCGAUGUAUGCGGCCUGCGGCACGUUGGGCGAAAGGGAAUCCGGUCCCCAUUCCGGAACCCGGUAGCGGAACCGUCUCACGUCGGGCCUGCCCGUCCGCCCCCGUCAACGGGGCGUGCGGGAAGCUCGUCGGGGUAACCCAAACUGACCCGGAGAAGCCGUCGGGAGGCGAGGGAAGAGUUUUCUUUUCUGUUUGAGCGUUCGGGUUCCAUGGAAUCGCCUAGCGCGGAGAGAUGGAAUGGAGCGCGUAGAGCUUCGCAGUUGCGGCGAAGUCCUCGCAUGCCCUUCGGACCUUGAAAAUCCGGGGACGGGCCACGUGGAGGUGUCGCGCCGGUUCGUACCCAUAUCCGCAGCAGGUCUCCAAGGUGAAGAGCCUCUAGUCGAUAGACUAAUGUAGGUAAGGGAAGUCGGCAAAUUGGAUCCGUAACUUCGGAAUAAGGAU